UACAGAGGGGGCAAGCGUUGUCCGGAAUCAUUGGGCGUAAAGCGCGUGUAGGCGGCCUUGUAAGUCCGUUCUGAAAGUCCGGGGCUCAACCCCGGGAGGCGGAUGGAUACUGCAAGGCUCGAGUCCGGAAGAGGCAAGUGGAAUUCCCGGUGUAGCGGUGAAAUGCGCAGAUAUCGGGAAGAACACCCGUGGCGAAGGCGGCUCUCUGGGACGGUACUGACGCUGAGACGCGAAAGCGUGGGGAGCGAACAGG
Molecule: ribosomal RNA, 253 nt
Filed under: uncultured bacterium
Lineage: Bacteria
Description: partial 16S ribosomal RNA
Rfam family: Bacterial small subunit ribosomal RNA
Source: RNAcentral